GUGCUCACUUACGCUGCACAUACACUAAAAUGGAAACACUGCAGAGAUGAUUAGCACUGUGACAUGUCACCCUGAGCAAGGGUGACAUACAAAUUUGUGAAGCAGUCCAUAUUUUU
Molecule: small nuclear RNA, 116 nt
Filed under: Microcebus murinus (gray mouse lemur)
Lineage: Eukaryota; Metazoa; Chordata; Mammalia; Primates; Cheirogaleidae
Source: RNAcentral